This 257-nucleotide ribosomal RNA is filed under the name uncultured archaeon. RNAcentral's name for it is "partial 16S ribosomal RNA". It matches the Rfam family "Bacterial small subunit ribosomal RNA", at positions 521 to 776 of the family's 1533-position model. The record is from RNAcentral.
UGACACGUAGGCUCCAAGCGUUGUCCGGAUUUAUUGGGCGUAAAGAGCUCGUAGGCGGUUGAGUAAGUCGGGUGUGAAAACUCUGGGCUUAACCCGGAGACGCCAUCCGAUACUGCUCUGACUUGAGUUCAGGAGGGGAGUGGGGAAUUCCUAGUGUAGCGGUGAAAUGCGCAGAUAUUAGGAGGAACACCGGUGGCGAAGGCGCCACUCUGGACUGAAACUGACGCUGAGGAGCGAAAGCAUGGGUAGCAAACAGG